This 622-nucleotide long non-coding RNA is filed under the name Sinocyclocheilus grahami. RNAcentral describes it as "lncRNA (ENSSGRG00000024027.1)". The record is from RNAcentral. Lineage: Eukaryota; Metazoa; Chordata; Actinopteri; Cypriniformes; Cyprinidae.
GGAAAAAUGUGUUACUGCCCCCUUUUUAGACAUCUGGUAGUGAUUAAAUGUGAGUAUAAAGCAGAGAUGAAGUGUGCUUGGACUACAGAAAGCAGCAGUAUGAAGAGUAGUGUGCAGCUAGGGCUGUUGUGUCUCAGCCUGCUCAUCUUCAGUCUUCAUGGAGAAGAAGAAGUCGAGACAGAUUCAAGCAUGCAAAACCCAAUUAAGUUUGAUGAGCCGGAUCUUCAUCAGUUUGAGAUGUACAGAGUACGAAGACAGACGGUCUCCACAGAGAAGGAAAAUACAGCAAAGACAGUAGCUGUUGUGCCACCAAGUGAGAACAGCAAGGCUAAGAGAAAACGGCCACGUCCAGGAGGUCUUACUCCUUUAGGAGACAGUGGAGAUUCAACGAGCCAGGACAAAAACAGGAAUAACAAACAGAAAAAACGUCCCGGGAGUCAGAGCCUUUUAGCAAUCAGUGGAGUUUUCCAGCUGCCCCAACAGACUGCCAAAGCCAAGAGAGAUGCCGGAGGAAAAAGGCCCUUGCCAGAAAGUUAAAGCAUUGUACAUGUUCAAGGCUCCUUCUGAGGUUACCUGAAUUAGGAAAAAUAGGAAUUGCAAAUAAAUACAUCACCAUGUUUCA